GCCACAUCCUGCGCGGAUUCCUGUUCCUGCUCUGGCUGCGACGGUGGAACUUCACCAAGGACUAUCAUGCGGGAUUCACCGCCUGCGGUUCCCUCCUCUGUUAAAACGAGAGAGAGAGACAAAAAUCGAGAAGAAAGCACGCAGAGAUUGAAACGGACACACGACGAGCAGAGUCAGCCAGCGAUCUACAGAGCGUUGCACGAUGACGACGUCAGUUCUCGCCCUUUCCGCGCUUUCGGUUAUUGAUCGCUGACGCUCCGGGGCUUGCGAUGCUCUUAAGCCGGCCUAUCGUUGCAAAUCAUGAUUCAUUCGGACCAACCCUCCAUUUAAAUACAUAUGUAAUGAAAAGGCUUAGUCACGUCAUAUAGAA
Long non-coding RNA from Osmia bicornis bicornis, 370 nucleotides. RefSeq lists it as uncharacterized. The transcript is spliced from 2 exons. The record is from RefSeq and is a predicted model, not a curated record. NCBI's taxonomy places the organism in Eukaryota, Metazoa, Arthropoda, Insecta, Hymenoptera, Megachilidae.